GGACAUAUGGGCCAUGAAAAUGAGGCCAAGGUCUGGAAUCCAGACCUGAUUCCAAAACACUUUGGGCCAUAACAUUCAAAGAAAUUCCCAACCUUUCCUUUGUCAUAUGGAAACUUGUUGUACAAUUAGGUACAGAUCCAAACAUUUAUUAAUCAGUUAUUGUCUAAGAAAAAGAAAAAUGCUUGUUGUUGGUCCCUUUUUCUUAAAUAGUUACGGCCAUAACCAGAUAACUCCCAUUCAGAAACUUUCUUUUGUGGUAUGAAACCGUGUGGUAAAAUUGAAUAUGAAUAGUAACUUGCAAUUUACUGAUUUUUGCAAAUGUUCUAUUUUUAUGUCAAUGUUGGUUAAAAAAAAUUGAAAUAUCUUGAUCAUCUGAUGGUGUACCUAUUAAUGAAAGCACUAUGAGUGCUGUCGGUCAGUUUAUUGAAAAACAAGAAUAUAGUGAAUGGAGUGUCCUGAAUCUCUGACACAGAUUGUUAACAAUAAAAUAAUAUUUAGAUGAAUAAUAUGAGAACAUAUAUACUUUUUAUCUCAAAAUGUUAAUCACCAGUAGUAAAAUUAUUUUUGGGUUAACGGUUACUGAUUUCUUAAAACUUAACAUUUUCAAAAAGACAAUGAAAUAAACUUUACA
This 631-nucleotide long non-coding RNA is filed under the name Mytilus galloprovincialis (Mediterranean mussel). Lineage: Eukaryota; Metazoa; Mollusca; Bivalvia; Mytilida; Mytilidae. The record is from RNAcentral.